GUGCCAGCCGCCGCGGUAAUACGUAGGGGGCAAGCGUUGUCCGGAAUCAUUGGGCGUAAAGGGCGCGUAGGCGGUCAUUUAAGUCAGUGGUGAAAACCCAGGGCUCAACCCUGGGAAUGCCAUUGAAACUGGGUGACUUGAGUGCAGGAGAGGUAAGUGGAAUUCCCAGUGUAGCGGUGAAAUGCGUAGAUAUUGGGAGGAACACCAGUGGCGAAGGCGACUUACUGGACUGUGUCUGACGCUGAGGCGCGAAAGCUAGGGGAGAGAACAGGAUUAGAUACCCUGGUAUUCCUAGCUGUAAACGAUGGGUACUAGGUGUGGGGGGUAUCGACCCCUUCCGUGCCGGAGUUAACGCAAUAAGUACCCCGCCUGGGGAGUACGGCCGCAAGGUUGAAACUCAAAGGAAUUGACGG
This 413-nucleotide ribosomal RNA is filed under the name uncultured bacterium. RNAcentral's name for it is "bacterial SSU rRNA". It matches the Rfam family "Bacterial small subunit ribosomal RNA", at positions 505 to 916 of the family's 1533-position model. The record is from RNAcentral.